This 289-nucleotide unclassified non-coding RNA is filed under the name uncultured fungus. RNAcentral describes it as "partial contains 5.8S rRNA, ITS2 and 28S rRNA". It matches the Rfam family "Eukaryotic large subunit ribosomal RNA", at positions 668 to 961 of the family's 3401-position model. Lineage: Eukaryota; Fungi. The record is from RNAcentral.
AAGGAGUCUAACAUCUAUGCGAGUGUUCGGGUGUCAAACCCCUACGCGUAAUGAAAGUGAACGGAGGUGAGAACCGCAAGGUGCAUCAUCGACCGAUCCUGAUGUCUUCGGAUGGAUUUGAGUAAGAGCAUAGCUGUUGGGACCCGAAAGAUGGUGAACUAUGCCUGAAUAGGGUGAAGCCAGAGGAAACUCUGAUGGAGGCUUGUAGCGGUACUGACGUGCAAAUCGUUCGUCAUACUUGAGUAUAGGGGCGAAAGACUAAUCGAACCAUCUAGUAGCUGGUUCCCUC